This 302-nucleotide ribosomal RNA is filed under the name Prymnesium parvum. RNAcentral describes it as "partial Bacterial large subunit ribosomal RNA". It matches the Rfam family "Bacterial large subunit ribosomal RNA", at positions 488 to 793 of the family's 2925-position model. The record is from RNAcentral. Lineage: Eukaryota; Haptophyta; Prymnesiales; Prymnesiaceae.
UAGCGAACAAGUACCGUGAGGGAAAGGUGAAAAGCACCCCGAUGAGGGGAGUGAAAGAGACCUGAAACCGAACACCUACAAGCAGUCGGAGCCUCCUUGCGGGGUGACGGCGUACCUUUUGUAUAAUGGGUCAGCGACUUACAUUCAGUGGCGAGGUUAACCGAAUAGGGUAGCCGUAGAGAAAUCGAGUCCGAAUAGGGCGAAUCAGUCGCUGGGUGUAGACCCGAAACCAAGUGAUCUAUCCAUGGCCAGGUUGAAGGUGCGGUAACACGUACUGGAGGACCGAACCCACUAACGUUGAA